RNAcentral lists this transfer RNA (65 nucleotides) under Coleoptera sp. 28 KM-2017. RNAcentral's name for it is "tRNA-Gly". Lineage: Eukaryota; Metazoa; Arthropoda; Insecta; Coleoptera. The record is from RNAcentral.
AUUUAUAUAAUAUAAAAAUUAUAUUUGACUUCCAAUCAAAAAAUCUAAAUAUCUUAGUAUAAAUA